UAUGGGCAAUUAUAAGUCAUCGAGUCAUUUUAAAUAAUGCUUUUCUGUCUCUCGUACGCUUUCUGUGUGGUGAUUUGAAUAGAAAACACAGUGUGAUGUAUUGCGUAAUGGCAAUAGACCAGCAGGAGUAAAGAUCGUUUGUCUGCAGUUGUAUAUCAAACACUAGUGAUAUUAGUGUCAAACAUGAGAGGCAUCGUUUGGCAGUAUUAAGGACUUGCUGGUUGCCCGAGUAUCGCUAAAACAAGAUAAAGGAUGGUAGAGAUUUCAUUUUGACCCAUCGGUGGCUGCGGGGUUGCCUUCACUGGUGGAUGAUGGUGUGGUGGUUUGGUCACUCUUAUGUCUUUUUCUUUAGGUCUGCAGUGUGAUUUGCUGUGAGUGGAUUGCAGUGCGAGCACA
Paramisgurnus dabryanus is the source of this 396-nucleotide non-coding RNA. Lineage: Eukaryota; Metazoa; Chordata; Actinopteri; Cypriniformes; Cobitidae. The record is from RefSeq and is a predicted model, not a curated record.